UACGUAGGGGGCAAGCGUUUGUCCGGAAUCAUUGGGCGUAAAGCGCGUGUAGGCGGCUCGGUAAGUCUGCUGUGAAAGUCCAGGGCUCAACCCUGGAAUGCCGGUGGAUACUGUCGAGCUUGAGUCCGGAAGAGGCGAGUGGAAUUCCUGGUGUAGCGGUGAAAUGCGCAGAUAUCAGGAGGAACACCAAUGGCGAAGGCAGCUCGCUGGGACGUGACUGACGCUGAGACGCGAAAGCGUGGGGAGCAAACAGG
Molecule: ribosomal RNA, 254 nt
Filed under: uncultured bacterium
Lineage: Bacteria
Description: partial 16S ribosomal RNA
Rfam family: Bacterial small subunit ribosomal RNA
Source: RNAcentral